AUGAAGAGCCUGUUAAGCCGUCAGAUCAAAACCAACAGCUGCCAGGAGAAGAACAGCUGCUGUGAGACGGAGGCGCUGGACUGUAACCAGCCGGCACGUUCUUCAGAUUCAGUUAUCCUCUGGGACGACACGGAGGGCAAGAUUAGUCCGUCAGCCACCUUGGAUGACGCAGGUUCAGAUCGUACCCGCAGCGCAUCUCCUCCUCCCCACAGCCAUGUUUCUGCUGCUGCUGCUGCCACGGAUGAUGGCAUUGCCGUCGACUCCCCUGCAGCUUGCCUGCCUAUUGCUCCGGUGGCCGCGCCGAGGGUCCCUUGCGAAGCGUGGUGGAAGAAGACCUUCUCGUUUCUCCUUGGCAACGCCACAGAGUCUCUCACCUUCCGUUUCGUAUUUGUCGCCGACAAGCUGCAGCUCAGGCUUGAAUUCGGUGUCGACGGCCAGGAUUCUCAACAACAACAAAAAAUGCUACAUCAUACUGUUAAGAUAAGCUUCCCGGCGAGCAAGACACUUGGUCAGUAUGCUGAUGAUGAUGACAACAACGAGAAAACAAGUAUGGCAGCUAAGAUGUUGAUGAUGAUGACUACCCUUAUAUUUUCCAGACCGCUCUUCAGAUGCAAGUUCCAACUAGCUGUUUAUGGCUGUGUUCGGCAAUCGCCCGCUCCUUCACCAGGGAGUGGAGCAUGCGGAGCUACCUGUUGGCCGCUCCCCAAAUUUGUACUGUAUGCCACUCAGCUCCGCAGAGGAGUCACGGAGCGGAGGGAUUCCGAACGGAGCCUAUAUAUCAUCGUGCUCCUUUGA
RNAcentral lists this ribosomal RNA (795 nucleotides) under Triticum aestivum (bread wheat). RNAcentral's name for it is "partial small subunit ribosomal RNA". Lineage: Eukaryota; Viridiplantae; Streptophyta; Magnoliopsida; Poales; Poaceae. The record is from RNAcentral.